This 468-nucleotide ribosomal RNA is filed under the name uncultured bacterium. RNAcentral's name for it is "partial 16S ribosomal RNA". It matches the Rfam family "Bacterial small subunit ribosomal RNA", at positions 28 to 507 of the family's 1533-position model. The record is from RNAcentral.
GACGAACGCUGGCGGCGUGCUUAACACAUGCAAGUCGAACGGAAAGGCCCUGCUUUUGUGGGGUGCUCGAGUGGCGAACGGGUGAGUAACACGUGAGUAACCUGCUCUUGACUUUGGGAUAACUUCAGGAAACUGGGGCUAAUACCGGAUAGGAGCUCCUGCUGCAUGGUGGGGGUUGGAAAGUUUCGGCGGUUGGGGAUGGACUCGCGGCUUAUCAGCUUGUUGGUGGGGUAGUGGCUUACCAAGGCUUUGACGGGUAGCCGGCCUGAGAGGGUGACCGGCCACAUUGGGACUGAGGUACGGCCCAGACUCCUACGGGAGGCAGCAGGGGGGAAUAUUGCACAAUGGGCGGAAGCCUGAUGCAGCAACGCCGCGUGCGGGAUAACGGCCUUCGGGUUGUAAACCGCUUUCGCCUGUGACGAAGCGUGAGUGACGGUAAUGGGUAAAGAAGCACCGGCUAACUACGUG